AAGUUUUCGGACGGAAUCCGGUAGAUCGAGUGGCGGACGGGUGAGUAACGCGUGGGGAACCUGCCUCAUACAGGGGGAUAACAGUUGGAAACGACUGUUAAUACCGCAUAAGACCACAGAGUCGCAUGACUCAGGGGUAAAAACUCCGGUGGUAUGAGAUGGACCCGCGUUCGAUUAGCCAGUUGGCGGGGUAACGGCCCACCAAAGCGACGAUCGAUAGCCGAUUUGAGAGAAUGACCGGCCACAUUGGGACUGAGACACGGCCCAAACUCCUACGGGAGGCAGCAGUGGGGAAUAUUGCACAAUGGGGGGAACCCUGAUGCAGCGACGCCGCGUGAGUGAAGAAGUAUUUCGGUAUGUAAAGCUCUAUCAGCAGGGAAGAAGAUGACGGUACCUGAGUAAGAAGCCCCGGCUAACUACGUGCCAGCAGCCGCGGUAAUACGUAGGGGGCAAGCGUUAUCCGGAUUUACUGGGUGUAAAGGGAGCGCAGACGGCUAUGCAAGUCUGAAGUGAAAGCCCGGGGCUCAACCCCGGGACUGCUUUGGAAACUGUGUAGCUAGAGUGUCGGAGAGGUAAGCAGAAUUCCCGGUGUAGCGGUGAAAUGCGUAGAUAUUGGG
Molecule: ribosomal RNA, 617 nt
Filed under: uncultured Lachnospiraceae bacterium
Lineage: Bacteria; Bacillati; Bacillota; Clostridia; Lachnospirales; Lachnospiraceae
Description: bacterial SSU rRNA
Rfam family: Bacterial small subunit ribosomal RNA
Source: RNAcentral